Molecule: unclassified non-coding RNA, 326 nt
Filed under: uncultured fungus
Lineage: Eukaryota; Fungi
Description: partial contains 5.8S ribosomal RNA and internal transcribed spacer 2
Rfam family: 5.8S ribosomal RNA (bases 1-131)
Source: RNAcentral
UGGCUCUCGCAUCGAUGAAGAACGCAGCGAAGCGCGAGAUGUAAUGUGAAUCGCAGAGCAUUGUGAAUCAUCGAAUCUUUGAACGCACAUUGCGCCUCCGUUAACAUGGAGGCAUGUCUGUCUGAGCGUCCCUCUAUCCAGAAUAGGAUAAGCCUUUCUUUGGGAGGUUUGUUUUGGGCGCUUCGUCUUAGGACGUGGCCUGAAAAAGAAGGGAAAUUUGGGUCUCUUAUAGCAUGAGCUAGAGUCUGAUAUGACCAAACCGUGCAGAGAGAUCCGGAGUGAUUUUUAAACUUGAAGACCUCAGAUCAGAUAAGGUUACCGCCUGA